RNAcentral lists this ribosomal RNA (999 nucleotides) under Triticum aestivum (bread wheat). RNAcentral's name for it is "partial small subunit ribosomal RNA". Lineage: Eukaryota; Viridiplantae; Streptophyta; Magnoliopsida; Poales; Poaceae. The record is from RNAcentral.
AUGGCCGCCGCCGUCCCCAUCCCGGCCCCGGCGCCCGCGGCCGACGACGAGAUCGUCUACGAGUCCAUGCCCUGCAUCCGCAUCUACAAGAACCGCGUCGAGCGCUACUUCGGCUCCGAGUUCGUCGCCGCCUCCGCCCACGCCGACGCCGCCACCGGGGUCGCCUCCCGCGACCGCGUCAUCUCCCCCGAGGUCUCCGCGCGCCUCUACCUCCCCCACAUCGACCCCGCCAAGCCCGACAACGCCAAGCUCCCCGUCCUCGUCUACUACCACGGCGGCGGCUUCUGCCUCGGCUCCGCCUUCAACCCCACCUUCCACGCCUACUUCAACAACCUCGCCGCGCUCGCCGGCGUCCUCGUCGUCUCCGUCGAGUACCGCCUCGCGCCCGAGCACCCCGUCCCCGCCGCCUACGCCGACUCCUGGGACGCGCUCGCCUGGGUCGUCUCCCACGCCGCCCCCGCCGCCGCUGGCUUUGAGCCCUGGCUCGCCGACCACGCCGACUUCGCCCGCCUCUACCUCGGCGGCGAGAGCGCCGGCGCCAACAUCGCGCACCACGUGGCGAUGCGGGUGGGCGCGGAGGGGCUGCCCCACGGCGCCGCGAUCCACGGCCUCCUCAUGAUCCACCCCUACUUCCUCGGCACCGAUAAGGUGGCCUCCGACGACCUGGACCCGGCGGCGCGGGAGAGCCUGGCCAGCCUGUGGCGCGUCAUGUGCCCGACCACCACCGGGGAGGACGACCCGCUCAUCAACCCGUUCGUGGACGGUGCGCCGGGGCUGGACGCCCUGGCGUGCCGGCGUGUGCUGGUGUGCAUCGGCGAGGGCGACGUGCUCCGCGACCGCGGCCGCGCCUACUACGACCGGCUCAGGGCGAGCGGGUGGAGCGGGGAGGCCGACAUUUGGCAGGCGCCGGGGAAGGGGCACACCUUCCACCUCCUCGAGCCCUGCUGCGAAGAGGCCGUCGCCCAGGACAAGGUCAUCGCCGAGUUCCUCAACAAUUGA